Molecule: ribosomal RNA, 497 nt
Filed under: uncultured bacterium
Lineage: Bacteria
Description: partial 16S ribosomal RNA
Rfam family: Bacterial small subunit ribosomal RNA
Source: RNAcentral
GAUGAACGCUGGCGGCGUGCCUAAUACAUGCAAGUCGAGCGAACAGAUAAGGAGCUUGCUCCUUUGACGUUAGCGGCGGACGGGUGAGUAACACGUGGGUAACCUACCUAUAAGACUGGAAUAACUCCGGGAAACCGGGGCUAAUGCCGGAUAACAUUUAGAACCGCAUGGUUCUAAAGUGAAAGAUGGUUUUGCUAUCACUUAUAGAUGGACCCGCGCCGUAUUAGCUAGUUGGUAAGGUAACGGCUUACCAAGGCAACGAUACGUAGCCGACCUGAGAGGGUGAUCGGCCACACUGGAACUGAGACACGGUCCAGACACCUACGGGAGGCAGCGGUAGGGAAUCUUCCGCGAUGGGCGAAAGCCUGACGGAGCAACGCCGCGUGAGUGAUGAAGGUCUGCGGAUCGUAAAACUCUGUUAUUAGGGAAGAACAAAUGUGUAAGUAACUGUGCACGUCUUGACGGUACCUAAUCAGAAAGCCACGGCUAACUACGUG